This 5270-nucleotide long non-coding RNA is filed under the name Pelobates cultripes (western spadefoot toad). The record is from RNAcentral. Lineage: Eukaryota; Metazoa; Chordata; Amphibia; Anura; Pelobatidae.
GCUGACCUUAUCCACGCUCGAUGGGCAUGACACCUCAGGCAACCUAAUGUUAACCGUUUGAAGCAGGGGAGGUUGAGACCUUAAAAACUUGUUCAUCUCAUUCCAUAUACUUAAACGUCAACUCAACCGGGCCCGAGGAGCAGCAUUGGGGGUGGGGGGGGGUAGCGGAGCCACAGGGAAGACCCCAGAGGGACACAGGCUGCGGGGGAGCACCCACACCGGCAGCCAUCAUGGGAGAGGGGAGCAGGGGCCACAGGGAAGGCCCCAGAGGGACCCAUGCCACGGGGGGAGCACCCACACCAGCAGCCACCAUGGGAGAGGGGAGCAGAGGCCACAGGGAAGGCCCCAGAUGGAGACAGGCCGUGGGGGGGGAGCACCCACACCAGCAGCCACCCCAGGGGAGAGGGGAGCAGGGGCCACAGGGAAGGCCCCAGAGGGACCCAGGUUGCGGGAUGGAGCACCCACCCCAGGGGAGAGGGGAGCACCUGAAUCAGGAGUCACCGGCCACCAUCCACCCUGCAGCAGCUUGGAGGAAAGCCAGUGGGCCUCAACCUCAUCCCUCAAGUUGUGUCAAUCUGCAGGCCCAGGCAAACAGGAGCAGGAGGACAGGAAGAUGUUUGCUGGCCCGAAUCCCAAGUGGCACUGAGGUAAGACCUCCCCCACACUAACUUACACAGAACAUAAUCCCACCCACACACUGUUUCCCAUCCAAUCCCAUGCAUCUAUCCCCACACUCCUACAUGUGCCCUUGUCCGCUUAGCUGCGCUUUUUAUGGAUUUCAAGGCAUCCAUUUGACAUCCAUUUGGCAUCCAUACUUAUGAUUUUACGUGUCAGCGUUGAAUGCUGUACAUCACUAUGUGCUGUUUUUUUCUUACUUUAUAGCAUCUAGCUGUAUCCCUAUUGUUAUCCAUAUCCAUUCAAUUCAACGGAGGCUCUAGAGGUUAGGUACAUCUAUCUAUGUAUCUGUUAUUAUUUGAUGAUAAGUAGAAUUGUUUGUUUGCCAGUUUCUUUUCCCGCUGUAACUUAUCUGCUGGUGCUGGUGCUGAGUGCUGGUGGUGAGUUAUAAAAAAUAGCCCUCCUACCAGCACCUCACUAAAUUAUAAAGUAUCCCAUUCAUUAUAUGGCCAAAUGAAAAUGAUGUCCAAAUUCCUACUCCUUAUGUUACUUGCCCUUGCAAAUGAUGUGGAGUCUAACCCUGGUCCCCCAGCUAAUUCUAGUCCUAAUCUCCCCACUAAAAAAGGCCUCUCUUUUGUGCACUGCAACAUCCAUAGUUUACUCCCUAAACUGGAUGCUCUGCAAGCCUGGUGUUCCCAUUACAAACCAAAAAUCAUUGUGCUCUCAGAAUCAUGGUUAACAAUUAAAAUACCAGAUACUGCCAUUGCAAUACAGGGGUAUUCAUGUUUUAGAAAUGACAGAGCAAAGAGAGGGGGAGGCAUUGUCAUUUAUGUUGACAAUUCCAUAAAGUUUACCCCCUUACAAAACUUUAGUCCUCCUGCCACCUUUGAUUUCCUUUCUGGCACAAUUGAGAUCCCGUGCAGUAAAUCAAUCAUUGUUGUAGGAAUCUACCGCCGACCUAACUCCCCUGUGCAUUCCCUUUCUGACAUAGCCCAUCUCCUUAGUGAAACCAUAGCUCAAAACCCAAAAAGUGAACUGUUGGUCUUUGGAGAUUUUAAUAUUGAUUGGCUGAACCCUAAAAAUAAUAGUUCUUGCACGCUGUUUAAGACUUUGCAGCUAACGCAAUUAAUCUCCUCCCCAACUCGCAUAAACAUUAAAAGCCAUAACCAUACCCGACUCGAUUGGAUUCUCUCCACUUCUCCUGAUAGAAUCCAGUUUCAGUGAUUACUGUUUGGUGUACUGUGUGCGCAAAAUAAAGGCUACUAAAUCCUCUCCCAAGUUAAAAUCACCAGGUCUUAAUGAUAUCAAGAACCUCCCAUGGCACAGAUUAAACAUUAUCCCAGAUCUAGGCUGUGCAGCUGAAUUCUUUCAGCCUGAACUCCUACAAGUUUGGAAUUUGCAUACCCCGCUGCGUAAGGUGAGAGUAAAAGGGGCACAUAUAAACUGGAUCACAGCUGACCUCAUCCAAAUGUACCAGUUUCGGGAUUUAUUGUGUUCAAAGUUCAAGCGUACUGGCUCUAUGAACGAUCAUUGUGCAUAUAGACAAUGGUGAAAUAUAUGCACAAAACAAACAAAAUUGGCCAAGGCCCAAUAUUUCUGUGAACAUCUGAUUAAUAACCUAUAAAACCCUAGAAACUUUUGGAAAGUCAUAAAUAAAUGACAAACUCCCCCAAUCUACUCCCAACCCUCCACUGUCAAAAUGGAUAACUAAACCCUGCAACUUCCAUUGGAUGUAGCAAAUGCCUUCAACAAUAAUUUUGUCGUAUGCUCCACUGCCCUGAUUGCCAAGCUAAUAAAUGACACGCAUCCUGAAACUACAAAUGUGGAUCAAGCCCAGCUACAUUUGCAAAGGCCCAAUAAAGACAAGUUCAUUUUUAGACCUGUACCUAUUAGUGUCAUUAAAAACACCUUAAUAAUAAAAAAAUGAAAAACCAGUCUGGACCUGAUCAAAUCCCAGCAAUGCUGUUGAAGCUCAGUGCACCGGCAAUUGCUAAACCUGUCGCAACCUUAUUUAACAAAUCCUUGGUGUCAUACCCAAACUUUGGACGACUGGCACUCCGGCAGGCGGUGGCGGAGGUGCGGGUAGCUAAGAAGGUUACGCUCCGGGCGCUUCUGUCUCUGCUGGGUCGGCUAAACUUCGCCUGUCGGGUGAUUCCGGUCGGACGGGUUUUUAACAGGUUCCUAGCCAGGGCGACGGGGGGGUGGGGGGUGGUGUUCCCGCACCACCUUAUUCGGGUAUCAGGGGCCAUGAAGGCCGAUCUGGACAUCUGGGGGGAAUUCUUGCGGUACUUUAACGGGAAGGUGUUCUUUCGGGAGCCAGCGGCGUCUUCUCAGGAGUUGGAGCUGUUCACAGACGCGUUGGGGAGUGUCGGUUUUGGGGCUUACUUUUGGUCAAUGGUGCAUGGGAACUUGGCCAAGGGCCUGGAAGGCCAGCCUGCUGAUAUGCAACUUGGCGUUCCUGGAAUUGUUCCCGUUAUUAGUAGUUCUGUCACUAUGGGGUCCACAGCUGAGGGAUAAGAAGGUGGUAUUCUUUUCGGACAAUAUGGCAGUGGUAGAUGCAGUGAACGGGCUAUCAGCAUCCUCUAUCCCGGUGGUGCGGCUUCUUCGCCGUUUUGUCUUGUUCUGUAUGAGGUUUAACAUUGUUUUUCGGGCACGCCGGGACUGUUGAAUGUUAUUGCUGAUGCAUUAUCUCGUUCGCAGUGGGAGAGGUUCUGGCAGGUGGCACCUGGCACGCGGGAGGAAGGGAUGUCUUGCCCAGACGAGAUGUGGCGGCUCGGGACAUCAUGUUUGGCGGACUGAUCAGGGAUUCCCUGGCACCCGCUACCUGGACGGCGUACAGUAAGGUGUGGGGGGCAUGGGACGAACUGGUGCUACAGACAGCUCUCAAGGGAGGCACGGUUGGACGCGCUGCUGUGGCUCUUGUGUAGGUCAGUCACCACAGGGGCUUUGGCAGCGGUGGUAGGGCGUAAGCUGUCAGUGCUAGCCUUCUUGUUCAAAUUUAACAGGUGGGAGGAUGCUACCAAACAUUUUCUUCUUAGGCAAGCACUGAAAGGUUUCAGGAGGGGUAAGGUGUCAAUGGAUUCUUGGAGGCCGGUGUCGUUCGAGUUGCUUCAGUGGGUGGUCCGGGUGCUGCCCGCGGUAUGUUUUUCAGGAUACGAAGUUACAAUGUUUUCCGUGGUUUUUAGCUUUGCCUUUUUCGGGGCAUUUCAUGUCAGCGAGCUGGUUAGCAGCAAUCGCCAGGGGGCCGGGGGGCUUCGGGCGGUGGACGUGAAAGUGUGGAGUAACAAGGUAGUGAUUAACCUGAGGCGGUCCAAAACGGAUGUAAUGGGGAAGGGAACAUUGGUUACGUUGUGGGAGCUCCUGGGUGGGAGAACGUGCCCGGUUAAGUGUGCAACGGCCUUCCGGGAGGUACGGGCAAUGGCUGGGGGUUCAUAUUUUAAGCAUGAGGACGGCUCUAUCGAAGUUCCAGUUCCUCAGGGUUUUUCGGAAGGCGUUGGCAAGGGUGGGAGUGGAUCCGGGCCAAUUCGGGACACAUUCUUUCAGGAUUGGUGCAGCUACUGAAGCGGCGAGACUAGGCUUGGGUGACGAACAGGUGAAAAGGAUUGGCAGGUGGGAGUCGCUGAGGUUCAUGUCUUACAUUAGGCCAGACAAGUUGGUAUAAGGUUAAGGGUGGUUAAUGGGGAAUGUUGGUUUGGUGGUUGUUUGUGGUUGUCUAUGUUUGCUUUAUGUUUUACAGGUCGGAUGGCAUGGGUGGUCGGCCUCUCAUACAUAUACUGGGCGCAAUGGAGAGCUGCAGUUCAACGUCAUGGUCUACAGCUGGGCUUUCCAAGUUCCGUGGUGCAGCUUCGGUGGUUUGGUUACCGGGGCUGGGGUUGGAAUGCUAUAUGUGAUGAAAUGUUUCACAAAAUUCUUUUGGGACAGGUUCCGGACAUAGUGGUGCUUCACGCACGGGGCAAUGAUGUGGGGUCAUUACCUCAAAAGGUUUUGAUCGAAUGUAUGAAGAGGGAUGUGGACAAAUUAAGGGAGUUAGUGCCGGGGGUUAUGGUGGUAUGGUCGGAGAUGGUUCCGAGGUUGUACUGGCGGCACGCGCGGAAUCACUCCGCGGUGGCGAAGAUUAAGUGUAAGGUUAAUAAGGUGAUGGCAGCGUAUGUGAAGCGGUCAGGGGGGUUGUGAUUAGGUACAGGGAGUUGGAAGACAUGCUUCCAGGUUAUUAUAGGCGUGAAGGGGUCCAUCUGUCCAAUGUGGGUUUGGACUUUUUGUUGCUGGGUUUCCAGGAGGGCCUCCAGAGGGCCUCCAGAGGAGUCGAGCUCUGAGCUGUGGUGGGGGAUGGAGAGUAAAGCUGGGGGGAGAAAAGAGUGAGAUAGGGAAAAAGUUUGGAGUUCAGGGCUGGUUUGGUAGGUUCGAGCUUGUAGGUAGCUCCGAACCGGGGUGUGUAUGGGGUGUCUCGGUAUGCCCCUACACUUGUGGUGCCCUUUGGUGGCAAUGGUCAUGUUUCAUGUUAAGUAAAAUGUUACAAUGUUUGGGUAUUAUGUUAUGUGGGGGUGGGUCAUUGUCAAGGGGUUAAAUUGUAAACUGCAGGAUGUUAAUUGUGCAGGCCAACGUUGGCCUGCUGUUGACAAUGACCUUUAUAAUUUAUGUUAAAUAUCAAAUAAAGC